RNAcentral lists this ribosomal RNA (400 nucleotides) under uncultured Glomeromycotina. RNAcentral describes it as "eukaryotic LSU rRNA". Lineage: Eukaryota; Fungi; Glomeromycota. The record is from RNAcentral.
GAAAAGAACUUUGAAAAGAGAGUUAAACAGUACGUGAAAUUGUUGAAAGGGAAACGAUUGAAGCCAGUCGUACCGACGAGAAAUCAGCUCUUUUUGUGCGAACUUGUGGGCGUGCGUGAGCUUUACGGCCUCGCUGUUUGCUAUGUUUGUGCUCUUUGGGUGUACUUUUUCGUAUGGUAGGCCAAUGUCAGUUUCGAUUAUCAUAAAAUAAUUGGAGGAAUGUAGCUUCGAUCUCGUAUUGAAGUGUUAUAGCCUUUGGUAGAUGUAAUGAUCAAGAUCGAGGAUUGCAACGAAUACCCUUUGGGCUAUCCGUCUGGUCUCUGACACGUUGCCUUGGUAACGAAAGCUUGCUUACGUUAUUGAGGUAUUACGAUCAAAAGGCUAGAACGUGAUUACAUUC